GACGAACGCUGGCGGCGUGCUUAACACAUGCAAGUCGAACGGAAAGGCCCUGCUUUUGUGGGGUGCUCGAGUGGCGAACGGGUGAGUAACACGUGAGUAACCUGCCCUUGACUUUGGGAUAACUUCAGGAAACUGGGGCUAAUACCGGAUAGGAGCUCCUGCUGCAUGGUGGGGGUUGGAAAGUUUCGGCGGUUGGGGAUGGACUCGCGGCUUAUCAGCUUGUUGGUGGGGUAGUGGCUUACCAAGGCUUUGACGGGUAGCCGGCCUGAGAGGGUGACCGGAGAAAGGGGGAGGGGAACGGGGACAGGAGGGUGAGGGGGGCAGGAGGGGGGGAUGGGGGGAAAAGGGGGCGAGGCUGGAGGAAGCAAGCCGGGGGCGGGGAGAAGGGAAUGGGGGUGUAAAGGGGAUGGAGCAGGGAAGAAGCAGGGGGUGACGGUAAGGGGUAAAGAAGCACAGGAUAAAUACGUG
This 468-nucleotide ribosomal RNA is filed under the name uncultured bacterium. RNAcentral's name for it is "partial 16S ribosomal RNA". The stretch from base 20 to 328 matches the Rfam family "Bacterial small subunit ribosomal RNA", at positions 47 to 358 of the family's 1533-position model. The record is from RNAcentral.